RNAcentral lists this ribosomal RNA (468 nucleotides) under uncultured bacterium. RNAcentral describes it as "partial 16S ribosomal RNA". It matches the Rfam family "Bacterial small subunit ribosomal RNA", at positions 28 to 507 of the family's 1533-position model. The record is from RNAcentral.
GACGAACGCUGGCGGCGUGCUUAACACAUGCAAGUCGAACGGAAAGGCCCUGCUUUUGUGGGGUGCUCGAGUGGCGAACGGGUGAGUAACACGUGAGUAACCUGCCCUUGACUUUGGGAUAACUUCAGGAAACUGGGGCUAAUACCGGAUAGGAGCUCCUGCUGCAUGGUGGGGGUUGGAAAGUUUCGGCGGUUGGGGAUGGACUCGCGGCUUAUCAGCUUGUUGGUGGGGUAGUGGCUUACCAAGGCUUUGACGGGUAGCCGGCCUGAGAGGGUGACCGGCCACAUUGGGACUGAGAUACGGCCCAGACUCGUACGGGAGGCAGCAGUGGGGAAUAGUGCACAAUGGGCGGAAGCCGGAUGCAGCAACGCCGCGUGCGGGAUGACGGCCUUCGGGUUGUAAACCGCUUUCGCCUGUGACGAAGCGUGAGUGACGGUAAUGGGUAAAGAAGCACCGGCUAACUACGUG